This 440-nucleotide ribosomal RNA is filed under the name Tannerella forsythia. RNAcentral's name for it is "bacterial SSU rRNA". It matches the Rfam family "Bacterial small subunit ribosomal RNA", at positions 28 to 463 of the family's 1533-position model. Lineage: Bacteria; Pseudomonadati; Bacteroidota; Bacteroidia; Bacteroidales; Tannerellaceae. The record is from RNAcentral.
GAUGAACGCUAGCGAUAGGCUUAACACAUGCAAGUCGAGGGGCAGCGAGGGUAGCAAUACCCGUCGGCGACCGGCGCACGGGUGAGUAACGCGUAUGUAACCUGCCCGCAACAGUGGAAUAACCCGGCGAAAGUCGGACUAAUACCGCAUAAAACAGGGGUCCCGCAUGGGAAUAUUUGUUAAAGAUUUAUCGGUUGCGGAUGGGCAUGCGUACCAUUAGGUAGUUGGUGAGGUAACGGCUCACCAAGCCUUCGAUGGUUAGGGGUUCUGAGAGGAAGGUCCCCCACACUGGUACUGAGACACGGACCAGACUCCUACGGGAGGCAGCAGUGAGGAAUAUUGGUCAAUGGUCGAGAGACUGAACCAGCCAAGUCGCGUGAAGGAUGACUGCCCUAUGGGUUGUAAACUUCUUUUACAAGGGAAUAAAAUGAGAUACGUGU